AACGAACGCUGGCGGCAUGCCUAACACAUGCAAGUCGAACGAGACCUUCGGGUCUAGUGGCGCACGGGUGCGUAACGCGUGGGAACCUGCCCUUAGGUUCGGAAUAACUCCCCGAAAGGGGUGCUAAUACCGGAUAAUAUCUUCGGACCAAAGAUUUAUCGCCUUUGGAUGGGCCCGCGUUGGCUUAGCUAGUUGGUAGGGUAAAAGCCUACCAAGGCGACGAUCCAUAGCUGGUCUGAGAGGAUGAUCAGCCACACUGGGACUGAGACACGGCCCAGACUCCUACGGGAGGCAGCAGUGGGGAAUAUUGGACAAUGGGCGAAAGCCUGAUCCAGCAAGGCCGCUUGAGUGAUGAAGUCCGUAGGGUUGUAAAGCUCUUUUACCCGGGAGGAUAAUGACAGUACCGGGAGAAUAAGCGCCGGCUAACUCCGUG
Molecule: ribosomal RNA, 433 nt
Filed under: uncultured bacterium
Lineage: Bacteria
Description: partial 16S ribosomal RNA
Rfam family: Bacterial small subunit ribosomal RNA
Source: RNAcentral